AUGCAUGGGGAGACACCCUGGAGGAAGCAUUUGAACAGUGUGCCAUGGCCAUGUUUGGUUACAUGACAGACACCGGGACUGUGGAGCCCCUCCAAACAGUGGAAGUGGAAACCCAAGGAGACGACUUGCAGUCUCUGCUGUUUCACUUUUUGGACGAGUGGCUUUACAGGUUCAGUGCCGAUGAGUACUUCAUACCCCGGGUGGGGAGAAGAAUUUUCACUGUCUAAGCACCCUCAGGGAACCGAGGUCAAAGCAAUAACAUACUCAGCAAUGCAAGUCUACAAUGAAGAGAAGCCAGAAGUGUUCGUGAUCAUCGACAUUUAAGAUACCAAAAAAAAAAGGAAAGACUCUUGUGAAGAACUGAUUCGUUUUCUUCCUUUAGAGAGGAUAUGAUGAUUCAUUUUCUAUAGUGUCUUUGCUAAAUGAAAAUGCAGAACUGGGAAUUUAAAGGGUGAUUUUUGGAAAUGGAAAACCAGUGUGUAGCCUUGGUCUGUGAUUCCUAGAGGAUAUAUUCUUCGGUUCUGAGGAGCAGUCGUGCACUUGGUCCAUGAGCAAUAGCCGCGGCCG
Molecule: long non-coding RNA, 567 nt
Filed under: Rattus norvegicus (Norway rat)
Lineage: Eukaryota; Metazoa; Chordata; Mammalia; Rodentia; Muridae
Description: long non-coding RNA NONRATT022658
Source: RNAcentral